RNAcentral lists this ribosomal RNA (433 nucleotides) under uncultured bacterium. Its description in RNAcentral is "partial 16S ribosomal RNA". It matches the Rfam family "Bacterial small subunit ribosomal RNA", at positions 29 to 507 of the family's 1533-position model. The record is from RNAcentral.
AACGAACGCUGGCGGCAUGCCUAACACAUGCAAGUCGAACGAGACCUUCGGGUCUUGUGGCGCACGGGUGCGUAACGCGUGGGAACCUGCCUUUAGGUUCGGAAUAACUCAGAGAAAUUUGAGCUAAUACCGGAUGAUGUCUUCGGACCAAAGAUUUAUCGCCCUUAGAUGGGCCCGCGUUGGAUUCGCUAGUUGGUGGGGUAAAGGCCUACCAAGGCGACGAUCCAUAGCUGGUCUGAGAGGAUGAUCAGCCACACUGGGACUGAGACACGGCCCAGACUCCUACGGGAGGCAGCAGUGGGGAAUAUUGGACAAUGGGCGAAAGCCUGAUCCAGCAAUGCCGCGUGAGUGAUGAAGGCCUUAGGGUUGUAAAGCUCUUUUAACCGAGAUGAUAAUGACAGUAUCGGGAGAAUAAGCUCCGGCUAACUCCGUG